UACGUAGGGGGCUAGCGUUGUCCGGAAUCAUUGGGCGUAAAGAGCUCGUAGGCGGUCUGUUGCGUCUGCUGUGAAAACUCGGGGCUUAACCCCGAGCCUGCAGUGGAUACGGGCAGACUAGAGGUAGGUAGGGGAGAAUGGAAUUCCCGGUGUAGCGGUGAAAUGCGCAGAUAUCGGGAGGAACACCGGUGGCGAAGGCGGUUCUCUGGGCCUUACCUGACGCUGAGGAGCGAAAGCGUGGGGAGCGAACAGG
Molecule: ribosomal RNA, 253 nt
Filed under: uncultured bacterium
Lineage: Bacteria
Description: partial 16S ribosomal RNA
Rfam family: Bacterial small subunit ribosomal RNA
Source: RNAcentral